RNAcentral lists this long non-coding RNA (246 nucleotides) under Trifolium pratense (red clover). RNAcentral describes it as "long non-coding RNA (TPRA_LNC001644)". Lineage: Eukaryota; Viridiplantae; Streptophyta; Magnoliopsida; Fabales; Fabaceae. The record is from RNAcentral.
CUCUUUUAAGUGUUCCGAUAACAAGCAUCAAAAUUGUGUGACAGUAGCAUACUCCAAUUAAAAGAGUCCUCUGAUUCUUGAACUAUGAAAUAGUAUUAUCAGCAUUCACAAAAAUCUUCGUCUAUCAAGAAUAUAGAUGAAUCAAUAAAUUUAAGAAGAGCUAAAUUUUGUAAUUUUCAAUGAUUUCCUUGUUUCUUAUUUUUUCAUAAAACAAUUUUCAAGCUAGCACUGAUGAUGAUCUUUCUC